RNAcentral lists this long non-coding RNA (14886 nucleotides) under Populus trichocarpa (black cottonwood). RNAcentral describes it as "long non-coding RNA (PTRI_LNC000434)". The record is from RNAcentral. Lineage: Eukaryota; Viridiplantae; Streptophyta; Magnoliopsida; Malpighiales; Salicaceae.
CGUCAGGAUUUCAAUGCUGCGUGGAGUUGGCUGUUCAGAACUGUAUUUACCGCAUAGGGUUGCAAUGCAACUCGGAACUGACGAAGUCCUUUCAGGGUUGUGUUGGUCAAUGCUCUAAUUAACAGACCUGAGAUUGCAUAAAGCUUAAAGCUUUUGUUGAAGAGCUUAAGCAGAUGAUCACACGAAUAAAAGCAGCAAGAUUAAGACUAAAGUGUUAACCUAGCUAGCCUUCUUCGUGAGAAUGAUUUGCUUGAUUUUAUUUUAUUUGAAUUCAUGGCUUCUCUUCUACUGUUGGCUAUGCUACUAACAUGGUAGUAGGCAUUGCAGCAGGUUCCUAUAUGGAUAACUCCCACCAUUGACAACAGAUGCAAAACAAGGUUAAAAGGAUAAUAGAAUUACAUAUAUUCAUAUACUAACCAUGCACUAUAUAUGGCAUGAAGUUGUUAUCACAGUGUGCAGACAAAUGCCGUGUGCUGCUGGAACCAACGCAGAGUCUACUAGGCGUUAUCUGUGCUGCCCACCCAAUCCUGACUAGAUAAGCACUUGAGUUUUUUUUUUUUUUAUCCAGUUGAUUUGAAGUGUUGUUUUGAUAUAAAAUUUUUGGAAGGAAGAGAUAUUUUUCUUUAAUAUUAAUAUCAAUUUGAUAUUUGUAGUUUAACUCACUAAAUAUAUAAUUUGUGUUUUUAUUUAAUAAUUUUAUUUUUUAAAAAUAUCUUUUAUUUGUUUAUAUAAUAGUUUAAAUAAAAGCAAUAGAAACUAGUAGAAUUCAACAUUAAUUAAACAUCGUAAUGUUUGUGAUAACUUUAUAAAUAUCAAAUUCAAAUAAAUUAUGAUAACUAAUUAAAAUCAAUCAAAUGUUAAAAGAUUUUUUUAAUAUUAAAAUAAUAAUAUAUUAAAUCAACCUGAAUUUUACGGUUUAAUUUGUAAAACCCAUAACUUAAAUAAUAAACUCCACUUGAAAAAUAAUAAUAAAAAAAAACAUUAAGGUUAUUAGAUGAUCAAGCACAAACAACAAUAAUAAUUCAAGAUUUUUACUGAAAGUAGAAUCCAUUAUACAUGUUGUUGAUUAUUGAGUUAUAACCCGUCUGUAUAUGAAAAUGAAUGAAUUUAGCAUAGCUAUUAAACCCCGUCGACCUGGUGGCUCGACUAGUCUAGGUUUGUUAAAAGACCAGCCGAUGCAAUGACCCGGCAAAACUCGAUCGACCCAUGACCUGGACGAGAUCCGUGUUUUUUUUUUCAAAUGUGGUUUUUCUUCUAUACUCCUUUUUUUCAUAUUUUUUUAGUUGUUUAUUAACAUUUUUUAAAGUUCAAUAUUUAAAUAUUAGAAAAAUAUUUUAUUUUUUCAAUGUAGGAUUUGAAAUCCUUUAAUAUAUACUCUAUGUUCCCAAGAAAAAAGUUAUUUUUUCAAUGUGGGAUUUCAAGCCCUUUCAUAUAUAUACUUUACGUUCAUAAGAAAAAAGUUGUGUUUUCUCAAUGUGGGAUUUGAAACCCUUUAGUAUAUAUACUCUAUGUUCCCAAGAAAAAAAUUGUUUUUUCAAUAUGUGAUUUGAAGCCCUUUUGUAUAUAUAUAUACUCCAUAUUCACAAGAAAAAUGUUAUGUUUUUUCAAUGUGGGAUGACAAACUUUUUGAUUUAAAUACUUCAACUUAAAAGGAUAUAAUAUCUUUUCAAUGUGGGAUUUGAAACCCUUUAAUAUAUAUACUCCAUGUUUCCAAAAAAAAGUUAUUUUUUUAAUGUGAGAUUUGAAGUAUUUUUAUAUAUACACUCUAUCUUUACAAGAAAAAAGUUAUGUAUUUUUUAAUAUGGGAUUUAAAACCUUUUAUUAUAUAUACUUUAUGUUUCCAAGAAAAAAAUUACUUUUUAAAUGUGGAAUUUGAAGCCCUUUCAUAUAUAUACUUUAUGUUCAUAAGAAAAAAUUUAUGUUUUUCAUUGUUGGAUAAAGAACUUUUUGGUUUAAAUAUUUCAACUUAAAAGAAUAACAUAAUAUUUAUUUAAUGUGGGAUUUGCAGCUCUUUAAUAUAUAUACUAUAUGUUCGCAAGAAAUAAGUUAUUUUUUCAAUAUGAGAUAAAAAAAAGCUUUUUUGGUUUAAAUACUUCAACUUAAAAGGAUAAUUUAAUAUUUUUUCAAUGUGUGAUAAUUUUUUUUUAAAAAAAUAUUCUUUUAAACUUUAUUAUUUACAAUAUGUAUAACAUAUAUUCAUAUAGAUUGUUUCUUAAUUUUUUCAUAUAAAAUAUAAAAAAUUUUAAUUUUUUUUAAAAUUUUUCUUAGUUGACCUAAGUUAACCCGAAUUGACCGAUAAAAUCUAAAACCCGGUCACUUAACCAAGCCAACUAACAGGUCGGAUUUCAUAACUAUAUCAUUUAGUCCAAAUUAGCUACUAAAAAUAGUAACUGCUUUCUUUACUUUAUAUAUAUAUAUAUAUGUAUAUAUAUAUAUAUGUAUAUAUAUAUAUAUAUGUAUAUAGGCCCACGAGGAAUGGACUGGUCCAAAUAGUAACUGCGUUCUUUACUUUUAUAUAUAUAUAUAUGCCCACGAGGAAUGAACUGGUCCAGAUUUCUGGCGUUAUCGUGCGAUUACACGCGAGAAAUCUACCAAGCUCGAGCGGGCGGAAAACUUUUGAUACCAUCGUAGUUUGAUUACAGAUCUGAAUCCUCUGUAUAAAUUAACUGAUAUUGUGAAGAACCCUUGUCAUUGUAAACAUAACUUUUCAAAAUUAUAAAGCAUAUCUACUUUUCUGGCGCUGCUCUUCGCCAAUCAGCUUUUUUCAAGGAAAACAUGUUGAAAUCUAGGGUUAAGAUUAAAAAAGAAGAUGCAAGGGAAGAUGAAGAUGAAGAUGAAGUACAACAAUCAGAUUAGCGAGAAGAACAAGCAUCAAAAUUCUAGAUGGAGAAUUAUCGUAUUGUAAUGAGAAGUUCCAGUUUUCCAGACUGCAACUGUAGAAAUGACAAGGACACCUGCUAAGAAGGCCAGUAAUCUGUCGUGAAUGAGGAAAUUCAUGGAUAGUGGCAGCGAGAUUUAGCAUGAAGCAUUUAACUUGUUUUCUCUAUUGUAAUUCAUGUCGCUAGAGGUAAUAGAAUUGCACUUGCACCUGCUGACUGCUGUUCUUUCCAGCAUUUAUAGAUCGAGAUAUGACUUGGUUGAAAGGAAAAAUCGCAGAGUCAACCUUGUUUUUUUUUUUUUAGUAGUUAAAAUUUUAUUAAGAAAAAGGUUACAAAAAUAAUAGUCUAACUUACAUCAGAUGAACAAGCAAAGAAAACAAAAGCACAAAAACUGUUGUAUGAAAUAGGAUAGAGCAACAAAUGGGGGGAGCAAACAAAUCAUAAGAAACCAACUCCUCCCGACUAAACAUUCUCUAUAUUAAGCUCUAAAGAGUUGGAAUCAAGCCUCAGCCAUAAAGCAAUACUUUGGCGCACCAUGGAGAAACAGAUUUGAAGGUUAGGGGCAGCGUCAUUAAAAAUAACAUCAUUUCGGUGAAGCCAAAGAUUCCAAACAACGAAUGAGAAAAGAAGAUGCCAUGAGAGAUUCUGCUGCUUGUCUUUAACCAUAGAAGACCAUUGGUAGCACAUAUCAACAACAGAUUUUGGAAAAACAGUGCAAAAGCCCCGAUUAGAAAGCAGUUUCAUCCAUAUAUUCCAAGUGAAGUGGCAGUGAAUGAAGAGGUGACUUGAAGAUUCCAAGCUUUUAUUGCAGAAAGCGCAUCUUGACUCAUGAAGGGUGAUGUAGUCAUGCUGAAAUAGAAAAUCUCUUGUGGUUACUUUGUCUUGGACAAGGAGCCAAAGGAAAAGUUGCACUUUUGGUGGGGUUAGUUUUAUCCAAAUAGAAGAUUGGAAUGGUUUGGCACCACCGUAGAGCAGCUGGUCCAUCAUUUGGAGCAAGAUUUUACACUGAAGAGGUCAUCGCUGUUGAGGGUCUAGAUUUUCUUAUCCAUCUUGUGGCAGAACAUUGGCUUGGAUUCCAGCAAGGAUGAUAAAAAUGAUAGUUGUUCUUGUUCAAAAUGAAAUAGAGGUCUGCGCCAUUGUAGGGACCAGAGCCAGAUUCCAUUGCUCCAUCUACCCAUGUCAGCCACCAAAGCAGAUUUAGAGAAAGACAAAAGAUAUAGCUUAGGGAAGGCUGUUUUGAGAGGUAGUCACCAAUCCAGUUAUCUAGCCAAAAUGAUGUUAAACUACCAUUCUCCACCAUGAAUUUGCAAUGAUUCGUGAAGACGUGGUGAGCGUCGGUUUGAACAAUGGACAUAAUAUCCUUCCAGAUCUUGGAGGGUUGGUUGUAGAAAAUUAGGAUCCCAUUCUCAUAAGCUGGAUUGUACAUUGAAGAGAUAAUCAUUUUCCAUAAACUUGUACCUGGGGAAGAGAGUCUCCAAAUCCAUUUUAGCAGCAGGGCUCUGUUUUUUGAUAUAAGGGAGCUUACACCGAGGCCUCCUUAUUUCUUAUUGCGCAUCACUAGUCUCCAUUGGAUCUUGUAGAAAGAUCUUUGCUUGGUACAUCCAUACCACAAGAAAGGUCUUUGGAUGGAUGAAAGAAGCCUGCCUACCCCUUUUAGCAUCUUGAAUACAGACAUAAAAUAUAUAGACAGGGAAUUAAAGACACUUUUAAUGAGACAUGCUUAGUAAUCUUCCUUUUCACAUAUGAAGCCUUUUACGAAACUUCUCUAUCACUGGCUUCCAUGUAGAGAUACAAGAUGGAUUGGCUUCUAGUGGCAUGCCAAGAUAUUUUCUUGGGAGGGAGUCUGAUAUGCAGAAAAUAGAUUUAGCCAAGCGCAAGCACAAGUGAUCGUCGACAUUGAUACCAAUAAUAGAGCUUUUAUGGAAGUUUAUAUGAAGGCCUGAAGUCAGAGCAAACCAUCUUAAAAUUCUUUUGACUUGAACUAACUUAUCAAUAUCUGUCAGGAUGAAUAUUAACGUGUCAUCUGCAUAUUGUAGAUGGCUGAUGAAAAUUCCUGAUGCAAAUUACAGCCCUUUGAUAAUAUUCCUACUAGAUGCCCUUUGAAAGAGGACCGAGAGGCCCUCAGCAGCUAUGUCAAACAGAAAAGGGGAAAUCGGGUCUCUUUGACGCAGUCCUCGCCGAACAGGGAAUUCUUUUGAAGGAGAUCCAUUGAUGAGGACCGAGAGUUUUGAUGAAGAAAGACAUUCAUAAAUCAUGGUUCUCCAUUUUCUGCCAAACCCCAUAUAACCCAUGAUAUAAUCUAGGUAAUCCCAGGAGACUGAGUCGAAGGCUUUAUAGAAAUCAAUCUUGAAAAUCAGACCUGCCGCUUUUCGAUUUUUUAGAUCACUCACCAGCUCAUUUGCAAUCAUAAAGCCAUCUAUAAUGUUGCGAUCUGCUAUAAACGCUGAUUGGUUAAUGCUAAUGAUAUCUUGCAUAACAGCUUUCAGUCUGGAUGCAAGGAUUUUGGCAAUGAUCUUGUAGAUACCAUGAAUCAUGCUGAUGGGCUGAAAAUCUUUAAACUCUAUGGGUUCUACUGUCUUGGAGAGGAUAAUUACGUAGGUUGUAUUGAUUCCUUUGGGUAGCCUUCCUGUUCUAAAGAAGCUUAAGACUACAUCGAGGAUGUCUUGAGCAAUAAAAUCCCAUGCUAAUCUAUAGAAUUUGAAGUUGAAACCAUCUGGUCCAGGACAUUUUGACCCAUCACAACCCCAUACACUGCGCUUCACUUUUUCCAUUGUGAUUUCCUGCUCCAGCCACUCAGAGGAUUCUUUAGAGAGGCAUUUGAAACCCAAAAGAUUUAACUACAGCUUUUUUUCAAAGAGGGAGUCAUACAGAUCAGAGAAAUAAUCCACAGCAGCCUGCUUAAUACCCUGCUGAGAAUCAAAAGUGUUGCCAUUAUGGUGGAUUUUAAGGAUAGAUGAUUUAGCCUUCCUGAAAUUAGCAAUCACGUGAAAAAACUUGUUAUUUCUGUCACCCAAUUUGCACCAUAUCUGUCUUGAUUUCUGCCUCCAAAUAGAUUCAAUGUGAUUGUUGCGAACCUAAGGUCUUUCAACAAAAAGUCUAAAUGCUCCUGCUCUUGGUCGGUUAAACCUUCUUCUUCACAUUUUUCCUCUAGUAUGUUGAUAGCUAAAAAGGUUCGUUGAAGGGCAGCUUCUUGAUUUCCAAAUUCAAGCUUAUUCCAUUGCCUCAAUUUGACUGCAAUAUGAUUGAGCUUUUUGAGAACUUUAAAGCGGCCAGGGUGAAGGGAGCAUGCAUCAUUCCAGAAGUUUUCAAUAAUGUGCUUGAAAUUUGGGUACUGAGUCCAAGAGUCCAAGAAACAAAAAGGACGCCAUUCAUGGUCCUGCAAGAAGUUAGAUAGAAUUAAAGGGCAAUGAUCCGAGAACUCUCUUGGAAGUCAUCGAAGAGAUAAACUAGGGAAGUGAAGAUGGCAGGAUGAGUUUGCGAACAUACGGUCCAGUUUGCUCUUGGACCCUCCUCUGAACUAGGUAAAAUAACCUUCUGCUAAAGGGUAUUCAGUGAGCUCACAAGACUGCAGAAAUCUGCUAAAAGAAUUUGAGCCUGCAGGAUGACAGAUUCCACUAUUUCUGUCUUUCUGUGAGAGUGUUUCAUUAAAAUCUCCUGGUAUUAUCCAGGGAACUUCAAAAGCAUGCUUAAGAAGAAUGAGAUCAUCUCAAAGUUUUUGUCUGUCCUGAUAGUUACAAGGAGCAUAAAUGCCAAUAACAAAGCAAUGAAAAUCAUUAUGAACAUGUUUACCAUAUAAAUCGAUCCAACCAUGACCAUAUUCAAUAUUAGAGACUUCAAAGUUAGUGUUUUUCCACAUAGCAAGCAAACCUCAUUUUGAUCCCUGAGCAUCAUCACUAAACCAAGUCACAUGAUUUUCAUUCCAAAUACGAGAUACAAAGCCAAUGAAACAAUUAGCUAGCUUAGUUUCCAGCAAUAAACAUAUAUCAAUCUUAUAUUCUGUUAUUAAUUUCGUGAUUCUUCUUCGUUUCCUCAUCAUGCCCAAGCCACAAGAAUUCCAAGAAAGAAUAUUCAUGACAAAAUUAAAAGAUCUAUCUGCAAGGACAUGAAUGAAAACUUACUAUUCAUUGUUGUUUCUGCCAAUUUUCCCUCUUCUUUUCUAGCUGCCUUAUGAUAAGCCCAUAAAAUUUUUUCAAGAGAGCUGAAUUACCAAGAUCCAGAGCUUUUCCCAAAUGGAUCAUUUUGUUGACUUCAUUGUGAGACGACUCCGCUGCAGAUUCCUUCAGGUUACAAGUAUUAUUUACCCUGAUAUAAGAGUCUAUAGAAGAUAUGCUUGCUAAAGAGUGCAGGGAGAUGAGACUCCCGGUAGAGGAUAUUUUCUUUAGUCUUGGUUGUUUGGUUGUUGUGGUCCAGUGUUGGUUGGGUGUAAGAGGCAGGUUUUGAGCUUUGCAGUGGGAUUCUAAAGAUUUAUCAUUGCUGACAGGGGUAUAAGGUUGUGGCGAGAAAGAGUCUCUUUUGAAGGCCAAGCUUUAAUGCUCCAGUGGCCUUGCUGAAUUCACAUCGUAUAAGACAAGGCCCGUUCUGCUUGGAGUUGAUUUUGGGAAAGCUUGUUGGUAGAGAAACAGUGGUGGGGAGUCCUAGUAGCCGCUAUUUCUGGAAAGAGAUCUUCAACAACCAUAUGUAGCUGUUAUGUGUUGUCAAUGACAUUUAUUGUGGCCGGAAAGCUAUGAUCGUAGACCUCAUAUGUCCUAUGUGGGUUGUGCUUUCUUGCCUCCAGCGUGUGUGCCUUGUCAUCAGCUUCAAAAUUCUUAUCAGCAAUAGCCAGCCUGCAAAUGUUGUCAUCUCCUGCCAAGUCAAAAGCCAGAUCAGUGUACACUUCAUCAUCUGAGUCACUGUCAGCAUCUUCUCCCUGAAGUAAUGUGGUUUGAAAUUCUGUCAUAGAGUAUGAAAUUCCUUUUGCCUCUGGAUAUCUUAAAGGGUCAAUCUCAUCUAGCUGUAUGUGUACUAACUUGGAGUUUAGCAUGAGAUCUAUAGAGUCGUGGAUCUCCGGCAAGUGAGUACCUAUAAGGAUUUUCACGCUGUGAAGUUCAGAGUUUAGCAUGAGAUCUAUAGAGUCGGGGAUUUCCGACCGCUGCAGAGUCAACCUUGUUGGGGAUUCCAAAGGGAAAAUAUGAUGGUUUAACAGUUAAGAUUUGGUCAUCAAUGCAAUUAGUUGAGGUUCGGGUUUGGAAGAGGUUAAAAAAACUGCAGCGGCCGGAGCCUAAUCUGAUGAAGAGUGGGUACCCUAGGUUGGUUCAGUGGAACAAAUUGAAACUGGAAGUUUAGAAUAUUUCCUUGGUUCUAGACUCUGAAAAAGAGAGUUUUAGCUCUGGAAAACUGGGAUUUCCUCAAGUUUUGUGGAGAAAAAGAAAUGUAGGAGACUGUUGGUUCUAGUUUGAAUGACGAUUUAAUGGCAUUUGCUCGACGCGUCAGGAUUUCAAUGCUGCGUGGAGUUGGCUUUUCAUAACAGUAUUGACCGCAUAGGGUUGCAAUGCAAUUCGGAACUGACGAAGAUCUUUCAGGGUUGUGUUGGUGAAUGCUCUAAUUUACAGACCUGAGAUUGCAUAGAGCUUCAAGCUUUUGUUGAAGAGCUUGAGCAGAUGAUCACACGAAUAAAAGCAGCAAGAUUAAGACUAAAAUUGUUAACCUAGCUAGUCUUCUUAGUGAGAAUGAUUUGCUUGAUUUUUUUUGCUUUGGUAGUUAUGUUAGCAACUCAAGUUUGGUUUUGAAAAAUGAAGCAGAUGAAAGUACUGUUUGGGCUUUAAGCUUUUCAUGACCACCCGGGAGAUUGAAUUUUUUUUUUAAUAGUAAACAGUGAAUUAUAUAUUUAACAGCUCCAUUAAGUAGGUGGAACUGAACGAAAAAUAAAAUACAAUGAAAAUAUAAAAGAAUAGAGAAGACCAAAGCGACGACGAACCUAACAUGGGAGAUUGAAUUCCUGGCUUCUCUUCUUCUGUUGGCUAUGCUACUAACAUGGUAGUAGAGCUUUGGACUGUCAGGCAUGGCGUCAGUAUCGCCAAAGAGAGCUUUAUGGUCUUUUUGUACUUUGAUUGAAGGCUUAGUUAAAGGACUAUAUUGCCCUUCAAAUAAAAAAUGAUAGAGCUUGUGUUUAGGGGCGCUUAGGUCUUUUCAACACGGUUAUUUUGUAAUUAUGUAUUUAGAUGAGGGGUAAUUAAGUCUUUGACCAUAUAUAGAAAAAAGAUUAAAAAAAUGGUUGAUGUGUGUCACGUACACAUUAGCAAGACGAAGGCGUCCACGCUCUUUCGGUGAUGUGUGUCGCCCCUCUUGGUGGUUAAAAGACUUCGUCAAUGAUGAUAUUUGAAACGGUAUUGGCGAGAUAAAUCAAAUAAUAACAAUAAAGGUGAUCAACAAUUAUUGAAGUUUUCACACGCGAUGAGUGGCUUACCUGUUUUUGGACAAAGAGUGUGGUCCACUUCGAUUACUAUUGGUAUUGAUGAUCUUUCUUGGUGUUAAUGAAUUCAUUUCACCAAAAUCUUUUUUAUAGACCUGAUAAUGUUAAAAUCGAAGAUUCAGUGUGUCUAUGAAGUUUUUGUUCUUUCUCUCUCUCUCUCCUUAUUGUUAUUUGCACAACACAUUUAAUUUUUUUUAAAAUGUUAUAUGUUUUUCUUAAGAAGAACUAUGAAUGUCGUGUUUUCAACUGCGAUAUAUAUCAAUUGUGUUAUUUCAUCAAUUAUUUUUCAAGUCAUGUUAUUUUUUUAUUUUUUUAUUAUGACAUGUAUUAAAUGUGCUAUUUCAUUAAUAGUUUUUUUUUCAAAUGUGUUAUUUUACUAUUUGUUUUUUUAAAAAAAAAACUAUGUUAAUUAUUGAGUGUUUGUUUUUUUAUUACAGUCUGUUUUUAAAAUUGCUUUUCGUAAAAAAAAACAUUAAAUUAAUGCUUUUUAGUGAGAAUUAAUAAUUUUUUUUCAACAAGAACUACGAUGUGUAUCAAAUGUGCUAUUUCAUUAAUAUAUAUAUUUUUUUCAAAAUGUGUUAUUUUACUAUUUGUUUUCUUUUAAAAAACUAUGUUAAUUAGUGAAUGUUUGUUUUUGCAUUACAAUUUAUUUUUAAAAUUGAUUUUUGCAAAAAAAAAAGCAUUAAAUUAUUUCUUUUAAAUUUUUUUGGAUGGUUUUGUAUGUUGAUAUAAAUAAUAAAUAAAUAAAAUUAUUUUAAAAUAUUUUCAAUUAAAAAACACUACACAACGUAAUAUCAAAUACACAAUUAAUUUAUAUUAUAAUUAAUGUUCGCAUCCGCCCAAUUCUCUUUGUGGACACAUAAAAUAUAUUCUAUUAAUGCAUGUAAAGUUAAUGAAUACAGUUACAAAAUGGUUUUCUCAAAAUUAUAAAAACAUGCCCCAUGGUUCAAUUAUAAAGCAUAUCUACUUUUCUGGCGCUGCUCUACGACAAUCAACGUUUUUCAAGGAAAACAUCGUGAAAUCUAGGGUUAAGACUAAGAAAGAAGAUGCAAGGUACAACAAUCAGAUUAGCGAGAAGAACAAGCAUCAAAGUUCUGGAUGGAGAAUUAUCGUAUUGUAAUAAGAAGUUCCAGUUUUCCAGACUGCAACAGUAGAAAUGACAAGGACACCUGCUAAGAAGGCCAGUAAUCUGUCGUCAAUGAAGAAAUUCAUGGAUAGUGGCAGCGAGAUUUAGCAUGAAGCGUUUAGCUUGUUUUCUCUAUUGUAAUUCAUGUCGCUAGAGCUAAUAGAAUUGCACUUGCACCUGCUGUUCUUGCCAGCAUUUAUAGAGAUAUGACUAUGUUGAAAGGGAAAAUAGCUGAGUCAACCUUGUUGGGGACUCCAAAGGGAAUACAUGAUGGUUUAACAGCUAAGCUUUGGUCAUCAACUUAAUGAGUUCAGGUUUGGGUUUGGAAGAGGUUCGAUGAACUGCAGCGGCCGGAGCCUAAUCUGAUGAUGAGUGGGUACCCUAGGUUGGCUCGGUGGAACAUUGAAACAGAAAGUUGAGAAUGUUUCGUUGGGUAUAGACUCGGAUAAAGAGAGUUUUAGCUCUGGAAAACUGGGAUUUCCUCAAGUUUUAUGGAGAAAAAGAAAUGUGGGCGACUGCUGGUUCUAGUUUGAAUGACGAAUUAAUGGCAUUUGCUCGAUGCGUCUGGGUUUCAAUGCUGGGUGGAGUUGGCUGUUCAGAACAGUAUUUACCGCAUAGGGUUGCAAUGCAAUUCGGAACUGACGGAGAUCUUUCAGGGUUGUGUUGGUCAAUGCUCUAAUUAACAGACCUGAGAUUGCAUAGAGCUUCAAGCUUUUGUUGAAGAGCUUGAGCAGAUGAUCACACGAAUAAAAGCAGCAAGAUUAAGACUAAAAUUGUUAACCUAGCUAGCCUUCUUCGUGAGAAUGAUUUGCUUGAUUUUAUUUUAUUUGAAUUCAUGGCUUCUCGUCUUCUGUUGGCUAUGCUACUAGCAUGGUAGUAGGCAUCGCAGCAGGUUCCUAUAUAGAUAACUCCCACCAUUGACGACAGAUGCAAAACAAGGUUAAAAGGAUAAUAGAAAUAAAUAUAUUCAUAUAGUAACCAUGCACUAUGGCGUGCAGACAAAUGCCGUGUGCUGCUGGACCCAACACACAGUCUACAAGGCGCCAUCUGUUCUGCCCAUCCAAUCAUGACAAGAUAAGCACUUGAGAGUUUAUUUGAUUUUAUCCGGUUGAUUUGAAGUGUGUGUUUUGAUAUAUAAAUUUUUUAAGGAAGAGAUAUUUUUCUUUAAUAUUUAGAACAAUGAUAUUUGUAGUUUAACUCCCUAAAUAUAUGAUUUGUAUUUUUGUUUAAUAAUUUUAUGUUUUAAAAAUAUCUUUUAUUUGUUUAUAUAAUAAUUAAAAUAAAGGCAAUAGAAACCAGUAGAAUUCAGCAUAUUUAAUUGUGAUGUUUGAUUCAUAUUGUGAUAAUAUUAUAAAUAAUAAAUUCAAAUAAAUUAUGAUGAUUAAAUCAAAAUUUAAUUAAAUAUUAAAAAAAAUUAAUAUUAAAAUGAUGAUAUAUUAAAUUAACUUGAAUUUUAUUAUUUAAAUUGUAAAACCCACAAUUUAAAUCAUGAGCUUAACUUAAAUGUUUUUUUUGAAAAUAAGAUUGUUACGAUGAUCAAGUACAAACAAAAAUAAUAAUUCAAGAUUUUUAUUAAAAGUAGAAUCCGUUAUACAUGUUUAUCAUUGAGUUAUAACCGGUCCGUAUAUGAAAAGGAAUGAAUUUGGGAUAGUUAUUAAACCCGGUUAACCCGGUGGCUGGACUGGUCUAGGUUUGUUAAAAGACUGGCCGGUGCAAUGACUCGGCAAAACUCGGUUGACCCAUGAUCCGGGCGAGACCUGAUGUUUUUUUUUCAAAUGUGGUUUUUCUUUUAUAUUUCUUUUUUUUUCAUAUUUUUUUAGUUGGUUAUUAACACUUUUUAAAGUUUCCUAUAGAAAAAUGUUAUUUUUUUGUUGUGGGAUUUCAAACCCUUUCAUAUAUAUACUUUAUGUUCACAAGAAAAAAAAUGUUGUUUUUUUAAUGUGGGAUUUGAAAUCCUUUAGUAUAUAUACUCUAUGUUCCCAAGCAAAAGGUUAUUUUUUCAAUAUGAGAUUUGAAACCCUUUAGCAUAUAUAUUCUAUGUUUCAAAAAAAAAGUUGUUUUUUCAAUAUGAGAUUUGAAAUCUUUUCAUAUAUAUAUAUUUUAUGUUCAUAAGAAAAAUAUUUUGUUUUUUCAAAGUGGGAUAACAAACUUUUUAGUUUAAAUACUUUAACUUAAAAGAAUGACAUAAUAUCUUUUCAAUGUGAAAUUUGAAACUCUUUAAUAUAUAUACUCCAGGUUCCCAAGAAAAAAAUUAUUUUUUCAAUGUGAGAUUUGAAAUCCUUUCGUAUAUAUAUUCUAUAUGCAUAAGAAAAAAAUUAUAUUUUUUUAAUGUAGGAUAAAUUUUUUUUUAAUUUAAAAAAAUAAUAUAAUAUUUUUUUAAUAUGAGAUAAAAAUUUCUUAAAAUAUUCUAUUAAAUCGAAAAGUAGCUACUAAAACUAGUAACUGUUUCUUUACUUUUAUAUAUAUAUAGGCAGGCCCACGAGGAAUGGACUGGUCCAAAUUUCUGGCGUUAUCGUGCGAUUACACGCGAGAAAUCUACCAAGCCCGAGCGGGCGGAAAACUUUUGAUACCAUCGUAGAUUGAUUACAGAUCUGAAUCCUCUGUAUAAAUUAACUGAUAUUGUGAAGAACCCUUGUCAUUGUAAACACAACUUUUCAAAAUUAUAAAGCAUCUACUUUUCUGGCGCUGCUCUUCGACAACCAGCUUUUUUCAAGGAAAACAUGGUGAAAUCUAGGGUUAAGAUUAAAAAAGAAGAUGCAAGGGAAGAUGAAGAUGAAGAUGAAGUACAACAAUCAGAUUAGCGAGAAGAACAAGCAUCAAAUUUCUGGAUGGAGAAUUAUCGUAUUGUAAUGAGAAGUUCCAGUUUUCCAGACUGCAACUGUAGAAAUGACAAGGACACCUGCUAAGAAGGCCAGUAAUCUGUCGUGAAUGAGGAAAUUCAUGGAUAGUGGCAGCGAGAUUUAGCAUGAAGCAUUUAACUUGUUUUCUCUAUUGUAAUUCAUGUCGCUAGAGCUAAUAGAAUUGCACUUGCACCUGCUGACUGCUGUUCUUUCCAGCAUUUAUAGAGAUAUGACUUGGUUGAAAAGGGAAAAUCGCAGAGUCAACCUUGUUGGGGGUUCCAUAGGGAAAAUAUGAUGGUUUAACAGUUAAGAUUUGGUCGUCAAUGCAAUUAGUUGAGGUUCGGGUUUGGAAGAGGUUAAAAAAACUGCAGCGGCCGGAGCCUAAUCUGAUGAAGAGUGGGUACCCUAGGUUGGCUGGGUGGGAUAAAUUGAAACAGGAUGUUGAGAAUGUUUCGUUGGUUCUAGACUCGGAUAAAGAGAGUUUUAGCUCUGGAAAACUGGGAUUUCCUCAAGUUUUAUGGAGAAAAAGAAAUGUGGGCGACUGUUGGUUCUUGUUUGAAUGACGAAUUAAUGGCUCGAUGCGUCUGGGUUUCAAUGCUGGGUGGAGGUGGCUGUUCAGAACAGUAUUUACCGCAUAGGGUUGCAAUGCAAUUCGGAACUGACGAAGAUCUUCAGGGUUGUGUUGGUCAAUGCUCUAAGUAACAGACCUGAGAUUGCAUAGAGCUUGAAGCUUUUGUUGAAGAGCUUGAGCAGAUGAUCACACGAAUAAAAGCAGCAAGAUUAAGACUAAAUUGUUAACCUAGCUAGCCUUCUUCGUGAGAAUGAUUUGCUUGAUUUUAUUUGCUUUGCUAGUUAUAUUAGUAACUCAAGUUUGACAAAUGAAGCAGAUGAAAGUGUUUGGGCUUUAGCUUUUCAUGACCGGGAGAUUGAAUUCCUGGCUUCUCUUCUUCUGUUUGCUAUGCUUACUAACAUGGUAGUGGAGCUUUGGACUGUCAGGCAUGGCGUCACUAUGAAACCCCCCCCCCCCCCAAUGAAGUUGAAUAUGACUCCUCGGAAGCUCUUCGAUGCCAGUCUUCACAUCUUAUUGUAUUCGCUUCUAACUUGUUUGGUGUCUUUUCAGAAUGGAUCUUGAGAAGGUUAAAAGGAUAAAAGAAAUAAAUAUAGCAACCAUUGCAGCAUGGCAUGAAGUUAUCACAGUGUGCAGACAAAUGAGGUGUGCUGGACCCAACGCAGAGUCUACUAGGCGUUUUCUGUUCUGCCCACCGAUUCUGACAAGAUUUGAUUUGACUUGAUUUGAAGUUUUGUAUUUUGAUAUAAUUUUUUUUAAAAGAGAUAUUUUUUUAAAAUAUUAAAAUUAAUUUAAUAUUUAUAGUUUAACCUUUCAAAAAAAUUGUUAGUGGUAUCUUCAACAGUUUAACAAUUUUAUUUUUUUAAAUAUAUAAUAAUAAAAAUAAAAAUUUAUAAAAUUAAACAUUAACUAAAUAUUAUAAUAUUUAAUUGAAACUAUAAUAAUUUUAUAAAAACAUUAUAAUAACAAAAAAUAAUAAAGAUUAUUAUGAUAAACCAUCACCGUAAUAUUUUUCAAUUCUAAAG